GAUGAACGCUGGCGGCGUGCUUAACACAUGCAAGUCGAGCGAGAAAUUUAUAUAUGAUUCUUCGGAAGAUUAUAUAAAUGGAAAGCGGCGGACGGGUGAGUAACGCGUGGGUAACCUGCCCUAUGCAGGGGGAUAACACAUUGAAAAGUGUGCUAAUACCGCAUAAGACCACAAAAUCGCAUGAUUUAGUGGUAAAAACUCCGGUAGCAUAGGAUGGACCCGCGUCUGAUUAGCUAGUAGGUAAGGUAACGGCUUACCUAGGCAACGAUCAGUAGCCGACCUGAGAGGGUGAACGGCCACAUUGGGACUGAGACACGGCCCAAACUCCUACGGGAGGCAGCAGUGGGGAAUAUUGCACAAUGGGGGAAACCCUGAUGCAGCGACGCCGCGUGAAGGAAGAAGGUUUUCGGAUCGUAAACUUUCUAUCAGCAGGGAAGAUAGUGACAGUACCUGACUAAGAAGCCCCGGCUAAC
RNAcentral lists this ribosomal RNA (473 nucleotides) under uncultured bacterium. RNAcentral describes it as "bacterial SSU rRNA". It matches the Rfam family "Bacterial small subunit ribosomal RNA", at positions 28 to 501 of the family's 1533-position model. The record is from RNAcentral.